CCUACAGGAAAUGUGCUUUAAUCAGUAGCAGAACAUUUGUGUCUAUCUCUAAGCUGGAGAAAAAUGGGGAAAGAUCGAGAUGAAGCAAGAAACGCUAAACCACCUUCAGAAGACUGCAUCACAGUACACCAGAAAUGGCAUCUGGAUUGAACUAAAGCUUGGUCUAUGCUGCCCAGUCCCUUUAAAGCAGAACAUAAAACCUAGGAAUCUGAUUGUUGCAACAUCCUGUAUCCUGAACUUAACCAAUGAACGCAGUUUUCUCCAUCCUGGAGAACAAUUCCUCUCCUAGUAUUGGCUGUCUCUUUAGUUGCUUCCACAGACUACAUCAUCCUUUAAAAAAAACAAACCACUGACGACCUCCCUUUGCAUCCCUGGGCUGCAUAGCCACCAGCUUCCUGAGGUCAGCAUUUUCCUGGGUGAGGAGUCUGGAGCCCUGAACAGUUAGUUGUAGGAUUUGACCAAGGUCACACAGCUGGAAAUACUGGAUUAACCCCAGGCUUCACCUGGGUAAC
Nannospalax galili (Upper Galilee mountains blind mole rat) is the source of this 512-nucleotide long non-coding RNA. RefSeq lists it as uncharacterized. Lineage: Eukaryota; Metazoa; Chordata; Mammalia; Rodentia; Spalacidae. The record is from RefSeq and is a predicted model, not a curated record. The transcript is spliced from 4 exons.